CCUACGGGAGGCAGCAGUGAGGAAUAUUGGUCAAUGGACGAGAGUCUGAACCAGCCAAGUAGCGUGAAGGAUGACUGCCCUAUGGGUUGUAAACUUCUUUUAUAUGGGAAUAAAGUGUUCCACGUGUGGGAUUUUGUAUGUACCAUAUGAAUAAGGAUCGGCUAACUCCGUGCCAGCAGCCGCGGUAAUACGGAGGGUGCAAGCGUUGUCCGGAAUCAUUGGGCUUAAAGGGUGCGUAGACGGCAUGUAAAGUCAGGUGUGAAAGGGGGAGGCUCAACCGGUGUAUGGCAAUUGAUACUUGCAAGCUUGAAUGCGGUAGAGGUAAAGGGAAUUCGUGGUGUAGCGGUGAAAUGCUUAGAUAUCAGGAGGAACAUCGGUGGCGAAAGCGCUUUACUGGGCCGUAAUUGACGCUGAGGAACGAAAGCCAGGGUAGCAAAUGGGAUUAGAUACCCCAGUAGUC
Molecule: ribosomal RNA, 460 nt
Filed under: uncultured bacterium
Lineage: Bacteria
Description: partial 16S ribosomal RNA
Rfam family: Bacterial small subunit ribosomal RNA
Source: RNAcentral